Molecule: long non-coding RNA, 698 nt
Organism: Cyprinus carpio (common carp)
Lineage: Eukaryota; Metazoa; Chordata; Actinopteri; Cypriniformes; Cyprinidae
Source: Ensembl
CUGCAGCAGGUUUCAGAGCUGCGUGCCCAAUUGGAGGCUCUUAAAGAAGAGGAGCAGAACAUACACUACGGUCUCAACAUCUUUAGUAUUGAACAACCAGCCUCUAAAGACAUCAUCACUCUAGAGAAGGAUGUGAAUUACCUGCAGCAGGUAUGAGAGAUCGCCCAUCAGUGGGAAGCGCUAUGGGAUGAGUGGAAGGGUGUUACUUGGCCUCCCUACAGACCGAGGCCAUGGACAGCACCGCCCAGACCAUGUUCAAGAGACUUCACACAGUCAGCAGAGAGUUCAAGGACAAGCACUGGGAGAUUGUGGACUUCUUUAAGAACAGGAUCAAGCAUUUUAAGAAUAUCGUCCCACUGAUCACAGGAAUCCAGCCAUGAGAGAGAGACAUUGGGAUCAAAUAAGACAAGAGGUGCAGCAGACAUUUGACCCGACCAGUGCAGACUUGCUUCUGGAGAAGAUUGUGGCUUUGGUCUGGACCACCAUGCUGAGCGUAUCAGUGACAUAUCAAAGAGCAAAGAGCUCUCCAUAGAACAGGUAUAAACUCUUUCUUUCUCAUGUAGGUUAAUUUAUUUCCUUUUGUCACUUCAGACUUAAAAUGAUUCUUCAGUGAAACAUUUUACAGAGAACAUUUUAUAAGACCAUAGUUCUUCUCUGAAUCUAAAGUGCAAACAAGGCUCUUUUUUUAUCAGUUUUUG